Molecule: non-coding RNA, 522 nt
Organism: Neolamprologus brichardi
Lineage: Eukaryota; Metazoa; Chordata; Actinopteri; Cichliformes; Cichlidae
Source: RefSeq, a predicted model, not a curated record
GAGGACUGAGGAUUUCACUCUUCGCUCGUCCCCUUCAUUUAGUCCGCGGUAAAGAGGUCCGCCCAGGCAGUGUGCGGAUACUGUCUCCCUCUCCAACUACCGAAUAUUUGGUUUUAAACAUAUAUACUGCCGACAUAUUUCUCUGCAGAGAGGAAUGAGCAGCAGGAUAAAUCUCCAGUGACUUUUCGGAGGAGAGAGUGGCCCCCGGUGCCAGCAGGGCAGAUAGUUGUUGUCUGCCUGUGCCGCUGCUGCGGGCAGAGGACUACAAACGCUAGCUUACUUCUGCUUAUGUCUCCUGUAUGAAAUAACAGCGCCAAGAUGGACCUGAAGGUGAUCUUGAUAUCUCUGUUGUUAGGAGUCUUUUGCUACUGUAAUCCUCAGAAAGAGGGGAACGAGUGCAUCAGUGCCAAUGCCAAACACUGUGGGGAAUGCAUCCAGGCUGGAGCCAAAUGUGGCUGGUGUGAACAGGAAGUACGUGAACUGAAGUGUUCAGCUGUUCUCACUGCUGCGGAAGCCAUUUUU